CCCCUAGACGUUCUGGGCUGCACGCGCGCUACAAUAAUACGCACAGCGAGUAUCACCGAGCUCGAAAGGGCAAGGUAAACAAUAGAAAAGGUACUGUAAUGGUUAUAGAUCCUUGUAAUUAUUGAUCUUCAACGAGGAAUUCCUAGUAAGUAUGUGUCAUCAUCACGCACUGAUUACGUCCCUGCCCUUUGUACACACCGCCCGUCGCUACUACCGAUGGAGUGUUUUAGUGAGGCCUCGGGACCGGUCCUGACUGGCAUUGCCUGACGGACUGGGAACUUGGUCAAACUUGAAUACUUAGAGGAAGUAAAANUUGUAACA
This 321-nucleotide ribosomal RNA is filed under the name uncultured eukaryote. RNAcentral's name for it is "partial 18S ribosomal RNA". It matches the Rfam family "Eukaryotic small subunit ribosomal RNA", at positions 1470 to 1796 of the family's 1831-position model. The record is from RNAcentral.